UACGGAGGGUGCAAGCGUUAUCCGGAUUCACUGGGUUUAAAGGGUGCGUAGGCGGGCAGGUAAGUCCGUGGUGAAAUCUCUGAGCUUAACUCAGAAACUGCCAUGGAUACUAUUUGUCUUGAAUAUUGUGGAGGUAAGCGGAAUAUGUCAUGUAGCGGUGAAAUGCUUAGAUAUGACAUAGAACACCUAUUGCGAAGGCAGCUUACUACGCAUAUAUUGACGCUGAGGCACGAAAGCGUGGGGAUCAAACAGG
Molecule: ribosomal RNA, 253 nt
Filed under: uncultured bacterium
Lineage: Bacteria
Description: partial 16S ribosomal RNA
Rfam family: Bacterial small subunit ribosomal RNA
Source: RNAcentral